RNAcentral lists this ribosomal RNA (450 nucleotides) under uncultured bacterium. RNAcentral describes it as "partial 16S ribosomal RNA". It matches the Rfam family "Bacterial small subunit ribosomal RNA", at positions 354 to 796 of the family's 1533-position model. The record is from RNAcentral.
GUGGGGAAUAUUCCGCAAUGGACGAAAGUCUGACGGAGCAACGCCGCGUGAGUGAUGAAGGUUUUCGGACUGUAAAGCUCUGUUGUUUAGGACGAAAGUGCCUGUUGCAAAUAGUUACAGGUAUUGACGGUACUGAACGAGGAAGCCACGGCUAACUACGUGCCAGCAGCCGCGGUAAUACGUAGGUGGCAAGCGUUGUCCGGAAUUAUUGGGCGUAAAGAGCAUGUAGGCGGGAAUCUAAGUCUGUUGUGAAAAUGCGGGGCUCAACCCCGUAUUGCGAUGGAAGCUGGGUUGCUUGAGUGCAGGAGAGGAAAGGGGAAUUCCCAGUGUAGCGGUGAAAUGCGUAGAUAUUGGGAGGAACACCAGUGGCGAAGGCGCCUUUCUGGACUGUGUCUGACGCUGAGAUGCGAAAGCCAGGGUAGCGAACGGGAUUAGAUACCCUAGUAGUCC